UGGGGGAUAUUGCACAAUGGAGGAAACUCUGAUGCAGCGACGCCGCGUGAGUGAAGAAGGCCUUCGGGUCGUAAAGCUCUGUCCUAGGGGAAGAUAAUGACGGUACCCUAGGAGGAAGCCCCGGCUAACUACGUGCCAGCAGCCGCGGUAAUACGUAGGGGGCGAGCGUUGUCCGGAAUUACUGGGCGUAAAGAGUUCGUAGGCGGUCUGAUAAGUCAGAUGUGAAAGGCGUAGGCUUAACCUAUGUAAGCAUAUGAAACUGUCAGACUUGAGGUAAGGAGAGGAAAGUGGAAUUCCUAGUGUAGCGGUGAAAUGCGUAGAUAUUAGGAGGAAUACCAGUGGCGAAGGCGACUUUCUGGACUUAAACUGACGCUGAGGAACGAAAGCGUGGGGAGCAAACAGG
RNAcentral lists this ribosomal RNA (403 nucleotides) under uncultured bacterium. RNAcentral describes it as "bacterial SSU rRNA". It matches the Rfam family "Bacterial small subunit ribosomal RNA", at positions 355 to 776 of the family's 1533-position model. The record is from RNAcentral.